GGAGAAGUCGCGUAGCUUGGUCGAGCGCGCACGACUGGAAAUCGUGUAAACCUCAAAAAGGUUUCGAGGGUUCGAAUCCCUCCUUCUCCGCCA
RNAcentral lists this transfer RNA (93 nucleotides) under Candidatus Scatonaster coprocaballi. RNAcentral describes it as "tRNA-Ser". It matches the Rfam family "tRNA". From Rfam's summary of the family: Transfer RNA (tRNA) molecules are approximately 80 nucleotides in length. Lineage: Bacteria; Bacillati; Bacillota; Clostridia; Saccharofermentanales; Saccharofermentanaceae. The record is from RNAcentral.